RNAcentral lists this ribosomal RNA (27 nucleotides) under Ditylenchus dipsaci. RNAcentral's name for it is "partial 18S ribosomal RNA". The record is from RNAcentral. Lineage: Eukaryota; Metazoa; Nematoda; Chromadorea; Rhabditida; Anguinidae.
UGAACCUGCUGCCGGAUCAUUAUCGAU